Molecule: ribosomal RNA, 418 nt
Filed under: Orbilia fici
Lineage: Eukaryota; Fungi; Ascomycota; Orbiliomycetes; Orbiliales; Orbiliaceae
Description: partial 18S ribosomal RNA
Rfam family: Group I catalytic intron (bases 64-380)
About the family: Group I catalytic introns are large self-splicing ribozymes. They catalyse their own excision from mRNA, tRNA and rRNA precursors in a wide range of organisms.
Source: RNAcentral
CCGAGUAGUCUUCAUAUGGUGACGCUCACGAGAAGCCUGUGCAGCCCAACAACGGGUAGCCCACCACGACUAUAAACAACGAGUUGGCAUUUAAAUGCAAGUCGGCCGCCUGGCUGGCGACACUUUCGAAUUGCGGGGACACCCUAAAGCCCAUCUCUACCAACCGACCUGCGAAAGCGUGUCGGGGUCCGUGUUAACAGCACGGAGUACGGUAACAAUGAGUGGGAUAAAGUCAGCUUUGGUUGACACCAUGGGCAAUCCGCAGCCAAGACCCUAAAGCACAGCCGUGCCAUGGGACAGGUUCACAGACUAAGUGGAAGUGGGUUGGAUGUGAGAACAUCCAGCUUAAGAUAUAGUCGGGCUCUGUACGAAAGUACGGAGGAGUCAAAACCGUUCCGUAGGUGAACCUGCGGAAGGA